Xenia sp. Carnegie-2017 is the source of this 367-nucleotide long non-coding RNA. RefSeq lists it as uncharacterized. The record is from RefSeq and is a predicted model, not a curated record. Lineage: Eukaryota; Metazoa; Cnidaria; Anthozoa; Malacalcyonacea; Xeniidae. The transcript is spliced from 3 exons.
UAUUAUAUAUAUAAUGGCUAAAUUGGACAGAAGACAGCUAUAAAUAAACUAUAAUAAUAUGUGUCAGACUGUCAGAAGAUGGCAAAAAGAAAUAUAGACAAUUUAAACCUCAAUGAAAUCAUUAAAAUAUUCAAUAUUCUGAAAAUUGAAUACGAUGAAAAUAACACCCUACCAGUAUUCAAGGGAAUUCUUAAAAAGAAAAUAGAAGAGCAGGGCUUUGACAAUGGAGUACAUCCGGCAGUUUUUGCAGUAAGAGAAGCAAAGUUGAAAGAUAUUUCAAAGAGUGAAGCUCCAUUAAAAUAUAUCCAUACGUAUGUAAAUAGACUCGAAUAUAGAGUUUAUUAUUAUAAUCUUUCAUAAGACUUUA